RNAcentral lists this ribosomal RNA (571 nucleotides) under uncultured bacterium. RNAcentral describes it as "partial 16S ribosomal RNA". It matches the Rfam family "Bacterial small subunit ribosomal RNA", at positions 355 to 919 of the family's 1533-position model. The record is from RNAcentral.
UGGGGAAUUUUGGACAAUGGGCGAAAGCCUGAUCCAGCAAUGCCGCGUGUGUGAAGAAGGCCUUCGGGUUGUAAAGCACUUUUGUCCGGAAAGAAAUCCUUGGCUCUAAUACAGUCGGGGGAUGACGGUACCGGAAGAAUAAGCACCGGCUAACUACGUGCCAGCAGCCGCGGCAAUACGUAGGGUGCAAGCGUUAAUCGGAAUUACUGGGCGUAAAGCGUGCGCAGGCGGUUUGCUAAGACCGAUGUGAAAUCCCCGGGCUCAACCUGGGAACUGCAUUGGUGACUGGCAGGCUAGAGUAUGGCAGAGGGGGGUAGAAUUCCACGUGUAGCAGUGAAAUGCGUAGAGAUGUGGAGGAAUACCGAUGGCGAAGGCAGCCCCCUGGGCCAAUACUGACGCUCAUGCACGAAAGCGUGGGGAGCAAACAGGAUUAGAUACCCUGGUAGUCCACGCCCUAAACGAUGUCAACUAGUUGUUGGGGAUUCAUUUCCUUAGUAACGUAGCUAACGCGUGAAGUUGACCGCCUGGGGAGUACGGUCGCAAGAUUAAAACUUAAAUGAAUUGACGGGGU